UAGGGAAUCUUCGGCAAUGGACGGAAGUCUGACCGAGCAACGCCGCGUGAGUGAAGAAGAUUUUCGGAUCGUAAAGCUCUGUUGUAAGAGAAGAACGAGUGUGAGAGUGGAAAGUUCACACUGUGACGGUAUCUUACCAGAAAGGGACGGCUAACUACGUGCCAGCAGCCGCGGUAAUACGUAGGUCCCGAGCGUUGUCCGGAUUUAUUGGGCGUAAAGCGAGCGCAGGCGGUUAGAUAAGUCUGAAGUUAAAGGCUGUGGCUUAACCAUAGUAGGCUUUGGAAACUGUUUAACUUGAGUGCAAGAGGGGAGAGUGGAAUUCCAUGUGUAGCGGUGAAAUGCGUAGAUAUAUGGAGGAACACCGGUGGCGAAAGCGGCUCUCUGGCUUGUAACUGACGCUGAGGCUCGAAAGCGUGGGGAGCAAACAGGAUUAGAUACCCUGGUAGUCCACGCUGUAAACGAUGAGUGCUAGGUGUUAGACCCUUUCCGGGGUUUAGUGCCGUAGCUAACGCAUUAAGCACUCCGCCUGGGGAGUACGACCGCAAGGUUG
This 550-nucleotide ribosomal RNA is filed under the name uncultured bacterium. Its description in RNAcentral is "bacterial SSU rRNA". It matches the Rfam family "Bacterial small subunit ribosomal RNA", at positions 355 to 896 of the family's 1533-position model. The record is from RNAcentral.